UACGUAGGGUGCGGAGCGUUAAUCGGAAUUACUGGGCGUAAAAGGGUGCGCAGGCGGUUAUAUAAGACAGAUGUGAAAUCCCCGGGCUCAACCUGGGAACUGCGUUUGUGACUGUAUGACUAGAGUACGGUAGAGAGGGGUGGAAUUCCUGGUGUAGCAGUGAAUGCGUAGAUAUCAGGAGGAACAUCGAUGGCGAAGGCAGCCCCUUGGACCUGUACUGACGCUCAUGCACGAAAGCGUGGGGAGCAAACAGG
Molecule: ribosomal RNA, 254 nt
Filed under: uncultured bacterium
Lineage: Bacteria
Description: partial 16S ribosomal RNA
Rfam family: Bacterial small subunit ribosomal RNA
Source: RNAcentral